AACGACUCUCGGCAACGGAUAUCUCGGCUCUCGCAUCGAUGAAGAACGUAGCGAAAUGCGAUACUUGGUGUGAAUUGCAGAAUCCCGUGAACCAUCGAGUCUUUGAACGCAAGUUGCGCCCGAGGCCUUUGGCCGAGGGCACGUCUGCCUGGGCGUCACGC
RNAcentral lists this ribosomal RNA (161 nucleotides) under Paramollugo nudicaulis. RNAcentral describes it as "5.8S ribosomal RNA". It matches the Rfam family "5.8S ribosomal RNA". Rfam says of the family: 5.8S ribosomal RNA (5.8S rRNA) is a component of the large subunit of the eukaryotic ribosome. It is transcribed by RNA polymerase I as part of the 45S precursor that also contains 18S and 28S rRNA. Functionally, it is thought that 5.8S rRNA may be involved in ribosome translocation. Lineage: Eukaryota; Viridiplantae; Streptophyta; Magnoliopsida; Caryophyllales; Molluginaceae. The record is from RNAcentral.